GAGCCAAGAACCAUGGCGAGUAGUGAAUGGGAAGUCCUCCCAAUUGGCAGAAUUGGGGUAUCAUUAAAUAAUAUUUUUCACUAUCAGCGUAGGCCUGGCUGGGUUUCAGAAUUGCUAUGCAGCGCUUUGUAUCUCACAGUCUUUCCCCUUACUUAAUGAGGAUGCUGUUGUUGUUAUCCUAUCCCUCUCCCACCAUUGUAUAAUGGGUGUAUAAGAGAUAGAUAAUUUUUAUUUACACUUACAGGUCUGCAGACUAAGAGGAGCCAUGCCCAGACAUGAUAAAAAGAUUAUGGAGCACCACUCACAGAUCCUGGACUCAACAAUGGAUGCAGUCACUGGAUGGAACUUUUGGCCAUUAAUUGAGUGCCUACCAUAUAGACACUGGGACCACAAUGAAGAAGAUAACCACUGAUCCUGUGGAACUUUUAGCUAAUGGAAAUCAAUUCCUGAGUAUCCAUGUAAUAUUGGAUGCUCAGCAUUAUUUAUCGGGACUCAUUAAUUGAUAUUUCAUAGGAAUUUAAGAAUGUUUUCUCAAGGAAAAGCUCAUUAUUCUGAUUGAAUUCAAGAAAAUAUUUCUUACUGAGUUUAGUGAUAUAAAACCACAUGAAACUAACAGUAUCUGAUUAAGACCAAUAGCCAAGUUCAUUUUUAAUGUCUUUAUCCUACAAAUCAACAAAACUUGUCAGUGAAAAGAGGAAUAUUGAUCAAUCACUUGAAUGUUUCAUUAAAUCCAAAUCUUUUGUAUAACAGUGAAAAAGUAUUUAAUGUUUGGAUGGUUUAAUUUAUCUUCAUCUGUAUGGGCUUUUUCUGUUAUUUGGGCCACUAAUGUGUUUUAGUUUAGUUUUUUGGUUUUGGGUGUUUUCUGUCUUUUUUUUUUUUUUUUUUUUUUUUGGUAAAGUCAUUGUGUUCUCUCUUGGUCUUCUGCUUUCAACUAUCAGGUUGCCAAUUCAAUUACUCACAAAUCUCUCUGAAAAAUAUUUUGAAA
Molecule: long non-coding RNA, 985 nt
Filed under: Homo sapiens (human)
Lineage: Eukaryota; Metazoa; Chordata; Mammalia; Primates; Hominidae
Description: HSALNT0108597
Source: RNAcentral